RNAcentral lists this long non-coding RNA (2032 nucleotides) under Homo sapiens (human). RNAcentral describes it as "HSALNT0037488". The record is from RNAcentral. Lineage: Eukaryota; Metazoa; Chordata; Mammalia; Primates; Hominidae.
CUGUCAUUGCACCAUCUCCUUGUGGGGGCAAAUGUGUCAGUGUUGGAGGCAGAGGACACAGGUUCUAGUCUCAGCCCCUCCAAUUAUGAGUGACAGGCUCCACACGAGGCCUGGGCAUACUGAGUGCUAACCUAGACCAGUUCUUGGUGUUCCCAUAAUCAUUAUGAGCUGUGGGACUUCGGGCAAGACAGUGAACCUCUCUGAGCCUCAAUUUCCUUAUUGGGAAAAUAGAGAAGACAUUCAUGACAACGCUUUGUAAAGUGCCAUAGAAAUGUACAGCAGAGGUUAAAUGAUUAGACAUCAGCUUAUGUUUCCUUGCUUUAUUUUUUAGGAAAAUAGUAAUCUUUGGGACUUAAAAAAAAUUCCUUCCUGCAAUAUACGAAUUCAGUAAGGACAGAAUCGUAGGCAUUGAGAUGGAGGCGGCAUACUCACAGGAAAGGCUGGCUGGGGCUUUUGUCCCCUAAUUGAUCUAAUGUGCUAAGUGGGCUUAAUGUAAGUUAAUUAAUGAUACUAUUGGUGGGUGGAAUACCUAGGCAGAGCCUCAAACAGCAUCAAAGGAACGAGCAGGCAGGUGUCAUCCAGGAUAAUUGAGGCAUGCAGGCAGUCACUAGGCAGGCUAGGAGGAGGGUGAGGGGAAACUGAGCCCAGCUGAGGGGCUGAGCCACUUAAGCAGCAAGGCUGUCUGCCAAACACCAUCCUGUUUACAGCUCCUGUAUUUGAAUUUCAGAUUUGCUUGAGUCUUUGAAGCUGGGUUCCUGGGCAUUUCCUUGAGAAUAAAUUCUAUUCUUUGGAAACCACAAAACGCACUCACUUGGACCCAGAAAGGAGCGUCAGGUAACCCAGCUUCCAUCUGUGGGCCUAUGAGACCUGAGGAACUUUGACUAGAAGAGGCUCCCCAUUUAACAGAGGCAAGUAGGUUUUGCGCUCCGUGAGAUGGGGUAAGACCAGGUCUGUCUGCACUCCGGAGCAAUGUUGGGCUGCCGCCCAAUGGCAGGCACUGGGCUAGGCAAGAGGGUACCAUGAUGCCUGAGAAACAAAGAUGAGCCCCUGACAUGUCUGUGCUUCACAAAUGUGUAUGCCCAACAAAAUGAAAGUCCAGCUCACAAAAGCAAGAAACCAGGUAGUGGCCAGGGAGUGAAAAUCAAGCAUUUCAGGGAAAGUGUAUUUACUUUUUCCUCCCAAAGACUGGUCCUUCCAAGAUUAUCCUCCAACUGUGCUGUCACAAAUUAAUCCUCCCACAGCACAGCCUGGCCCACUUAGGGAUGGGGAGGGGUACAGUGGAGACCCCCGGCCAAUCGCCACCAGGAUCGCCAAACUUUCCCAGCCGUGAAGGGUACACGUGGACUGUCAUCGGAACGAACGCUUAUUUCCAAGCCUUGACCAGAGUCACUCUCUUUUUGGUGGCCUCUGUCAAAAUGUAUCUUUAAAGGUUUUAAGUGGCUAUGACUUACAAAUCUCAGAGUAUUAAGCCAGGCAAGAAACAUUCUCUAUUUUAGAUGCCUGGAUCCCUUUUUUCCUUCAGUCUAUUAUGGCUCUUCACUUCUUUGUUACACUUUCACUCUUGCUUAGAAAGUGUCUCAAAAAUGCCACUUGAGAGCCACAGAGCAGUGGCCUGGGGACUGGGGAAGAGGACGGUGGUGCUCCUGUCUCUCCGUACGUCUCCUCACAUGCGUGUACCCCUGGCUGUGUGGGAUUGCCCACUGACCGGCAUCUGCCCUGCUUGUUGAUUUUAACUGUCCCUCUUGUUGCUGACCCAGCACAACAUGGGCAGGGAAACCCAGUGGGAACCUCGCCUGCUGACCUCCCUGCCCAGCCACCCGCUUCUCCCUGAGCUGACAUCUCAAAGCUUGGCUGCUGCAGGAGGCUGGGAAUCAGAGCCGACUGAAUCAGAGCCGACUCCUGUCUAGGAGCCCAACCCACCCCACGGUCUGUCAGAGUGUUGAGAGGAACCUCUUGGCUGGAAAUGAAAACCUCAAUCAUCACAAAUAGCUUCCCUUGCAGUUAGAUGUUGCCGCGUGCUUCAGAACUGUCC